RNAcentral lists this long non-coding RNA (406 nucleotides) under Setaria viridis. Its description in RNAcentral is "long non-coding RNA (SVIR_LNC005256)". Lineage: Eukaryota; Viridiplantae; Streptophyta; Magnoliopsida; Poales; Poaceae. The record is from RNAcentral.
GGAACUCGGCGAUGUUUCUUAGCCACAGGGACCGGAUGUACACUCAGAGCUAGCUCACUAGCGGGUACAGGUGGCAACUCGUUGGUGUUUUCGCCAAGACCUGAAAGAGCCAACUUAGAGACAACGUACACAUGACUACUACUAGUACUCGCUACUCACCGCUAGCGGGGACUUCAGGCAAAGUGGCGCCAGGAACUACUUCGGGUGUUUUCACAGUUCCACUUAUGGUAGUUUCUGAUGGGUCAACCGCUCCACCACUCACAACUUCAAGAUCAACGGCUUCAGUAGAUGUCUCCAAAGAAACCACGCUACUAGCCGCGUCUUUAGCUAUCGCAACUCCAUCAUCAGAAGUAGUCUCGGCAACUCCGUACAUUGCGUCCGUUGCCUCCUCAAUAUCUUCAUCCAC